GAUCCUGGCUCAGGAUGAACGCUAGCUACAGGCUUAACACAUGCAAGUCGAGGGGCAGCAUGGUCUUAGCUUGCUAAGACUGAUGGCGACCGGCGCACGGGUGAGUAACACGUAUCCAACCUGCCGUCUACUCUUGGACAGCCUUCUGAAAGGAAGAUUAAUACAAGAUGGCAUCAUGAGUCCGCAUGUUCACAUGAUUAAAGGUAUUCCGGUAGACGAUGGGGUUG
RNAcentral lists this ribosomal RNA (227 nucleotides) under uncultured bacterium. RNAcentral's name for it is "partial 16S ribosomal RNA". It matches the Rfam family "Bacterial small subunit ribosomal RNA", at positions 15 to 233 of the family's 1533-position model. The record is from RNAcentral.